UCGCUACUACCGAUUGAAUGGUUUAGUGAGCUUCAUGGACUGGGCUUGGCGGAGCUUGCUUUGCCUCGCAUUGGAAAGUGAAACAAACUUGAUCAUUUAGAGGAAGGUG
Molecule: ribosomal RNA, 109 nt
Filed under: uncultured eukaryote
Lineage: Eukaryota
Description: partial small subunit ribosomal RNA
Source: RNAcentral